GUCGGCUGAAAGCCGGACAGAUUUUUAGUGUAUGCGCCAGAACUGGCCCAGAUGAGGAAAUAGUAUACCAGUAGUAAACACUAUUUAUAGCUGUUGGCCCGAGUGUAAGCAUACUCAGCUGAAGUCCGGGUCUACUAAAGUAGCGUCUCAGUGUAAUCGGGCCAAAUCUGGCAUUGUGUAGUCGGACCGACUACGUUGCAUUGUGCCUGGACCGAUUAUGGUUUGAUAUGAUACUGCCAAGAUGUGUAUGAUGUCAGAAAUUCAGUAUGUGGCCCGAUACCAGUGGAACUGACACAUGCCGGUUGUAACGCUGUUUGGCGGCAAUUUAAAAAUGUUUAUGCUUCAGACGGACAGUAUACAGUACACGGCCCGAUUCCGUGAUGCGGCAAUCAGCCCUCUAGCUGUUGAACGGCAACAUCACCACUGCUGUUAUGAUUUGAAUCAAGCAGAGCACAAAGCUGAGCUCCCGUUCGACACAGACACCAUCAUCAAUAACUGGUUAACUGGUUGGGGCUUAUUGGCGGGACAGAUGUACGAGACUGCACAUGGCAUAUAUUGAAGAGGGCGACCGACAACUCCCUGGCUUAAAACCUCAACUGGAUGGAAAAGACUUUAUUUGCCACCCUCUAACUCAGAGAGGUAGUGAUUGAUGCAGUUCGGAGAAGGUCCCUUACAGUUGUGGAGGGGACAAUGAAGAGGUGGCUCGAUCGAGAGGGUGGGUGCAAGAGACAACUUUAGCAAAAGAAAAGCAGUUAGUGUUAGCGCCUGUGUUUGAGUCUGCAAAGGAGAAUGUUUUGUGCUGUAAAAAGAGUGGUGGUGUUUUGGUUAAAUGUGUUUAACUUGUUUUAAUUACUUGGCUUGUGUGUGAGAGGUGUGUGUGCGUGUGGGUUGGUAUAUGUGGUUUAUGGGGAAUAGUGUAUAAUGACAUGUUUAAUAUGCUAUAAACAUGCUUUACAGGGACACAAGUGGUACUUUUUC
Non-coding RNA from Misgurnus anguillicaudatus (oriental weatherfish), 978 nucleotides. The record is from RefSeq and is a predicted model, not a curated record. NCBI's taxonomy places the organism in Eukaryota, Metazoa, Chordata, Actinopteri, Cypriniformes, Cobitidae.